UGGGGAAUAUUGGACAAUGGGGGCAACCCUGAUCCAGCGAUGCCGCGUGUGUGAAGAAGGCCUGCGGGUUGUAAAGCACUUUAGUUGGGGAGGAAAGGUAUGUACUGCAUAAGUGCAUGCUGUGACGUUACCCAAAGAAUAAGCACCGGCAAACUCUGUGCCAGCAGCCGCGGUAAUACGUAGGGACCAAGCGUUGUUCGGAUUUACUGGGCGUAAAGGGCGCGUAGGCGGCAAUUCAAGUCAUCUGUGAAAUCUCCGGGCUUAACUCGGAACGGUCAGAUGAUACUGCUUUGCUAGAGUGCAGAAGGGGCAAUCGGAAUUCUUGGUGUAGCGGUGAAAUGCGUAGAUAUCAAGAGGAACACCUGAGGUGAAGACGGGUUGCUGGGCUGACACUGACGCUGAGGCGCGAAAGCCAGGGGAGCAAACGGGAUUAGAUACCCCCGUAGUCCCUGAGCGGGCUGGCAAGGCGCAU
RNAcentral lists this ribosomal RNA (472 nucleotides) under uncultured bacterium. RNAcentral describes it as "bacterial SSU rRNA". It matches the Rfam family "Bacterial small subunit ribosomal RNA", at positions 355 to 825 of the family's 1533-position model. The record is from RNAcentral.